GAUCAGGUAGGGAUACCCGCUGAACUUAAGC
RNAcentral lists this ribosomal RNA (31 nucleotides) under Megaspora rimisorediata. Its description in RNAcentral is "partial 28S large subunit ribosomal RNA". The record is from RNAcentral. Lineage: Eukaryota; Fungi; Ascomycota; Lecanoromycetes; Pertusariales; Megasporaceae. RNAcentral also lists the same sequence under 1 other name.